Molecule: ribosomal RNA, 484 nt
Filed under: uncultured bacterium
Lineage: Bacteria
Description: partial 16S ribosomal RNA
Rfam family: Bacterial small subunit ribosomal RNA
Source: RNAcentral
GACGAACGCUGGCGGCGUGCUUAACACAUGCAAGUCGAACGAUGAACCCGGAGCUUGCUCCGGCGGAUUAGUGGCGAACGGGUGAGUAACACGUGAGUAACCUGCCCUUGACUCUGGGAUAACUGCUAGAAAUGGUAGCUAAUACCGGAUACGACCCUCGGCGGCAUCGCCAGGGGGUGGAAAGAAUUUCGGUCAAGGAUGGACUCGAGGCCUAGCAGCUAGUUGGUGAGGUAACGGCUCAGCAAUGCGACGACGGGUAGGCGGCCUGGGAGGGAGACCGGCCACACUGGGACAGAGACACGGCCCAGACUCCGACGGGGUGCAGCAGUGGGGAAUAUUGCACAAUGGGCGCAAGCCUGAUGCAGCAACGCCGCGUGAGGGAUGACGGCCUUCGGGUUGUAAACCUCUUUUAGUAGGGAAGAAGCGAAAGUGACGGUACCUGCAGAAAAAGCACCGGCUAACUACGUGCCAGCCGCCGCAGUAA